GACGAACGCUGGCGGCGUGCUUAACACAUGCAAGUCGAACGGAAAGGCCCUGCUUUUGUGGGGUGCUCGAGUGGCGAACGGGUGAGUAACACGUGAGUAACCUGCCCUUGACUUCGGGAUAACUUCAGGAAACUGGGGCUAAUAACGGAUAGGAGCUCCUGCUGCAUGGUGGGGGUUGGAAAGGUUCGGCGGUUGGGGAUGGGCUCGCGGCCUAUCAGCUUGUUGGUGGGGUAGUGGCUUACCAAGGCUUUGACGGGUAGCCGGCCUGAGAGGGUGACCGGCCACAUUGGGACUGAGAUACGGCCCAGACUCCUACGGGAGGCAGCAGUGGGGAAUAGUGCACAAUGGGCGGAAGCCUGAUGCAGCAACGCCGCGUGCGGGAUGACGGCCUUCGGGUUGUAAACCGCUUUCGCCUGUGACGAAGCGUGAGUGACGGUAAUGGGUAAAGAAGCACCGGCUAACUACGUG
This 468-nucleotide ribosomal RNA is filed under the name uncultured bacterium. RNAcentral describes it as "partial 16S ribosomal RNA". It matches the Rfam family "Bacterial small subunit ribosomal RNA", at positions 28 to 507 of the family's 1533-position model. The record is from RNAcentral.